GAUGAACGCUAGCGGCAGGCCUAAUACAUGCAAGUCGUACGGCAACACAGUUGCGAGCAAUCGCAACCGGUGGCGAGUGGCGCACGGGUGAGUAACGCGUAUGUAACCUACCCUUCUCCGGGACAUAACUCCGCGAAAGCGGUGCUAAUAUCCCAUACCAACUCAUCAAGACAUCUUCUUGAGUUGAAAGCAGCAAUGCGGUGAAGGAUGGGCAUGCGUCCCAUUAGCUGGUUGGUGAGGUAAUGGCCCACCAAGGCUACGAUGGGUAGGGGUUCUGAGAGGAAAGCCCCCCACACUGGUACUGAGACACGGACCAGACUCCUACGGGAGGCAGCAGUAAGGAAUAUUGGGCAAUGGUCGAAAGACUGACCCAGCCAUGCCGCGUGCAGGAUGAAGGCCCUAUGGGUUGUAAACUGCUUUUAGCCGGGAAUAAACACCCCGUUUUAUAACGGGCCCGAAGGUACCGGCUGAAUAAGCAUCGGCUAACUCCGUGCCAGCAGCC
This 502-nucleotide ribosomal RNA is filed under the name uncultured bacterium. RNAcentral describes it as "bacterial SSU rRNA". It matches the Rfam family "Bacterial small subunit ribosomal RNA", at positions 28 to 516 of the family's 1533-position model. The record is from RNAcentral.